Molecule: ribosomal RNA, 813 nt
Filed under: Actinomycetales bacterium 26-5PB
Lineage: Bacteria; Bacillati; Actinomycetota; Actinomycetes; Actinomycetales
Description: bacterial SSU rRNA
Rfam family: Bacterial small subunit ribosomal RNA
Source: RNAcentral
UGAGGAGCUUGCUUCUCUGAUCAGUGGCGAACGGGUGAGUAACACGUGAGCAAUCUGCCCUUGACUCUGGGAUAAGCGUUGGAAACGACGUCUAAUACCGGAUACGACCUUUGGAGGCAUCUCUGGGGGUGGAAAGAAUUUUGGUCAAGGAUGAGCUCGCGGCCUAUCAGCUAGUUGGUGAGGUAAUGGCUCACCAAGGCGACGACGGGUAGCCGGCCUGAGAGGGUGACCGGCCACACUGGGACUGAGACACGGCCCAGACUCCUACGGGAGGCAGCAGUGGGGAAUAUUGCACAAUGGGCGAAAGCCUGAUGCAGCAACGCCGCGUGAGGGACGACGGCCUUCGGGUUGUAAACCUCUUUUAGUAGGGAAGAAGCGAUGUGCUUGCCACAAAGUGACGGUACCUGCAGAAAAAGCACCGGCUAACUACGUGCCAGCAGCCGCGGUAAUACGUAGGGUGCAAGCGUUGUCCGGAAUUAUUGGGCGUAAAGAGCUCGUAGGCGGUUUGUCGCGUCUGCUGUGAAAACCCGAGGCUCAACCUCGGGCCUGCAGUGGGUACGGGCAGACUAGAGUGCGGUAGGGGAGAUUGGAAUUCCUGGUGUAGCGGUGGAAUGCGCAGAUAUCAGGAGGAACACCAAUGGCGAAGGCAGAUCUCUGGGCCGUAACUGACGCUGAGGAGCGAAAGCAUGGGGAGCGAACAGGAUUAGAUACCCUGGUAGUCCAUGCCGUAAACGUUGGGAACUAGAUGUGGGGACCAUUCCACGGUCUCCGUGUCGCAGCUAACGCAUUAAGUUCCCCGCCUGGGGAGUACGG